GGAGAGGUGGCUGAGUGGUUUAAAGCACUCGCCUCGAAAGCGAGCGGGUAGCAAUACCCCGUGGGUUCGAAUCCCACCCUCUCCGCCA
RNAcentral lists this transfer RNA (88 nucleotides) under Bacillota bacterium. Its description in RNAcentral is "Firmicutes bacterium (hot springs metagenome) tRNA-Ser". It matches the Rfam family "tRNA". From Rfam's summary of the family: Transfer RNA (tRNA) molecules are approximately 80 nucleotides in length. Lineage: Bacteria; Bacillati; Bacillota. The record is from RNAcentral.